UGAGGCUAUACCAACAGGGUUACAUCAAAUUUGGAACUACUGGCUCUCAGAAAUAUGUCAUAUGCACCAUUUCAAAAUUCUGCGAACUUAAAUUGUUAUGAAAAAUUGGAAAUAAAUAUUUUUGUCAACGCAAGCCUUUGCCUUUGCAGUUGAUGUUGAAAAAAACGCGUUUAGCUCCGAGGAAACUCCUUUCUAUUCCUAGAUUGAAACUGCAAGCUGCCAUUUUUUGGUGGCCACCGAAUUGCUGAGAUCUUAGCCAGUAAUACGUCAACACAAUGGAACUGGGUACCGUCAUCUUUGAACACCGUGGACGCUGCCCCUCGUUUAAGUUAUUUACCAAAAAUAUGUAACGACAGUCCUUGGAUACUUGGUCCAACCUUCUUGAAAUCGCCACGAUCAGACUGGCCACAAAUGAUUGACAUAGCCUCAUCGGAACCUUUGGAAGAGGAACUUUCCGAACGCAAAAUUCUAAGGUGUCAGGUACGAGUCUCAGUAAUAGAUUUCAAUCAAUUCUCUUCUUAUAGUAAUCUGAAGCGCGUUGUGCCCUGGGUAAUGCGUGGGUAAAGAAUUUGGCUUAAACUCCGUCCAAAUAUCCAACGGAUCUUUGACUGCCGACGAACUUUCUGAUGCCGAAUUUGAGAUAUGUAGACUGGUCCAGCUAAGCAACAAAGUGAUGUUAAAGGAUAGUGCAAUUUAUGGAAUUUCGCCUUACAUAGAUACAAAUGUUCGGGACGACCACCUAUUCUACUUCCGAAGGAUCACAAAGUGUCCACCCUCAUCAUGAGAUACUUUCAUGUAAAAUAUCAUCAUCAAAAUCAAGCGGUUAUGAUCACGAAAGUCGACAAAAGUUUUGGCUUCCUCACGCCUGGAAAUUCCUUAACAAAGUAACGCUCGAACGUUUAAGAUGUAUCCGAGGAUUACCAAAAACUCCACAGAUGGGUCAGUUGCCACCUGAUCGUCUGACUCCCUACGUCUGGCCAUUUACACAUACAGAGGUGGAUUUGUUUGGUCCACUGACCGUAUCAGUCGGUCGCCGCCACGAAAAGCGCUGGACAGUUAUUUUUACUUGCAUAACAUGCAGAGCAACUCAUCUUGAACUAGCUGCAAACCUUUCCACAGAUGCAUUUAUAAUAUAUCUGCGAAAUUUCGUUAACCGUAGGGGAACACCUAUAAUUAUUCGAAGCGAUAACGGGACAAACUUAAUCGGUGCUAAUAACGAGCUCAAGGUUCAUGAGAGUUUGUUGGAUUUAGGUGACAUAGCGGUCGAAGCGGCUCAAAGGGGUAUUAAGUGGAUCGUAAACUGCUCACUUCAACCUAACUCCGGUGGAUGUUGGGAAAGGUUAAUUUAAAUCAAAAAGGAAUUGUUGAAAAAAACUUUACGCGAUAUUUACCCACGCGUGGAGUCCCUACAGUCAAUAUUGAUAGAAGCGGAAAACAUUCUGAAUGCGCGAUCUUUAACUGAAAUACCCUUAACACAUGAGGCAGAAGAUCCUUUGACACCGUAAGCACAAAUUCAACGCAAACCGUGGGGUUUGCAUACACCCAUCGGAUAAAACUAUUUGCCUAAGGAAGCAAUGGAGGAUCGCUCAAGUCCUUAAGGAUCGCUUAUGGAAGAGGUGGAUAGUGGAGUAUCUCCCUCAACCCAUAUGUAGAUCUAAAUGACACCAGAAGACAACUCCAUUUCAAGAGGACGACUUAGUACUUAUAAUGGACGCCACUGCACCGAGAAGUACUUGGAAAAAAGAAAGAGUCGUAAAGGUGUUUGUCGGAAAGGAUCAACAAGUUCGUUCUGCUGACGUCAAAACUGAAGAUAGCGUGCUAUGUCGACCAACAUACAACUUAAUUAAACUUCAGUUAAGUGGUUGGAGCCAAUUUUUUACCCGUUACUCGUAAACUAAAAGGGUAUACAAGAUUCGUUGGAAAGUAUGUGACAUGUAGAAGGAAGCUUUUCUUGAUCAGGAUCACUAGCCGAAUCGAUCUUGCCAUGUCCAUCUGUCCGUAUGAACGCUGAGAUCUCGGAAGCUAUAACAGCUAGGACAGCCAGACUUGGCAUGCAGGUUCCUGGGCUUCCAGCGCAGCGCACGUUUGUUUCAGCGGAGUGCCGCGCCGACUCUGUAGCGCUUACAGUUUAUAUGAUAAAAACAAAAUUUUAACUGAAGUGGAUUUGUGUCAUAAAUACCUAUCGACUUUCGACUGACCUAAAAAAAUUUGCCACGCCCAUUCUAACAGCCACAAACGGCUUAAACGCUUAAAUCUGUCUGCCGCCCACAUAAAAUCUACUGAAAUAGCCAGUCGGUGGCGCCCUAAAAUAUCACUUUGCUGGGUAUAUAUCUCCAUUUUCCUUUUGCUCCUUUAAGCUAUGUAUAUACAUUACAUUAA
Molecule: RNA transcript, 2379 nt
Organism: Drosophila biarmipes
Lineage: Eukaryota; Metazoa; Arthropoda; Insecta; Diptera; Drosophilidae
Exons: 3
Source: RefSeq, a predicted model, not a curated record